RNAcentral lists this long non-coding RNA (741 nucleotides) under Struthio camelus australis. RNAcentral's name for it is "lncRNA (ENSSCUG00000008379.1)". The record is from RNAcentral. Lineage: Eukaryota; Metazoa; Chordata; Aves; Struthioniformes; Struthionidae.
CAUAGAAACAAGUAAGGCACAGAUUUUCACCAGCUGACUGUGUAUGUUUUGCAGGGCUGACGCAAGGUGGAACAGGCCUUUAUAUAUUACAAGCUUUGCUAACGUUUUAUAAUGAAACCUUGGUCUGAGUUCUUGGCUGAGCGGCGUGCCCAGGCUUGAGGAGGAAUCACAACGCGAUCCCUCGAGAAGCCAAAGCAUUCUUCUCAUCGCUCUCCACUGACUAGGUGAUCACUGACAUGCUAAAUAGUUUGGCUGGAAACCAUGGCUGCUCUCUCCUCCUUUUGAUCACAUACAGCUGGACAAGGAGGGGAACCCAGGACUCAAAAGCCCUAAACAACAGCUUAAAGGGGAAAGUUGAAGACCUUUCCUUCAGAGGUAAAGUUUUCUUCAGGAUGAAAAAUGGAAAAAAAAGCAGCUAACACUGCUGCCUAUACCAGACUUCAACUGCAUGAAACAUAACAUGGCAGCUUUGAUGAAAGAACAUUGUAUUUUUUAAUACAAAAGCGCAGCAAAGCAUCCAUAUCUGGCCAGAGACAACACACAAUUCUUAUUAGGACCUCUGAUUUACAAGAAGGGGACUGAAUAUUUUGACAUAUGAAGUGAUGAUAAAACAGCCUGCCACCUUCCAAGACAGAAGACAAAGUAACAGACUAAGCAGAUUCUGUGAAUAUCAGCAAGACUCACUUGGCUAUAAGUAGCCUUGCUCAGGAUUUAAAGUUUUGAGAAACACUAGAAUCUAAG